Molecule: non-coding RNA, 174 nt
Filed under: Gammaproteobacteria bacterium
Lineage: Bacteria; Pseudomonadati; Pseudomonadota; Gammaproteobacteria
Also listed under: 1 other name
Description: 6S RNA
Rfam family: 6S / SsrS RNA
About the family: E. coli 6S RNA was the first non coding RNA to be sequenced, but its function was unknown until recently. It consists of 184 nucleotides that fold into an extended hairpin structure with a large single-stranded internal bulge.
Source: RNAcentral
UGCUUUCUGGGUUAUUUGCCAGCCAAAUAACACUUCGAGCCGAUACAAAAAAAUAAGGGAAUUUGAUACUUAUUUUUGUUGAGCACCCAUUUGGAUUGCCUGAAAAAAUAGUGAUUCUUCCCGACCUGAGCUUUUCGGUUCGGGUAAAUUUUGCAGCGAUAACUUGGAAAGCUC